AGAGUUUGAUCAUGGCUCAGGACGAACGCUGGCGGCGUGCUUAACACAUGCAAGUCGAGCGGUAAGGCCCCUUCGGGGGUACACGAGCGGCGAACGGGUGAGUAACACGUGAGCAACCUACCCUCAACUUUGGGAUAAGCCUCGGAAACGGGGUCUAAUACCGGAUAUGAUCUCCUGCUUCAUGGUGGGGGGUUGAAAGUUCUGGCGGUUGGGGAUGGGCUCGCGGCCUAUCAGCUUGUUGGUGGGGUAAUGGCCUACCAAGGCGUCGACGGGUAGCCGGCCUGAGAGGGCGACCGGCCACACUGGGACUGAGACACGGCCCAGACUCCUACGGGAGGCAGCAGUGGGGAAUCUUGCGCAAUGCGCGAAAGCGUGACGCAGCAACGCCGCGUGGGGGAAGACGGCCUUCGGGUUGUAAACCCCUUUCAGGAGGGACGAAGCUCCGGUCGCGAAUAGUGGUCCGGAGUGACGGUACCUCCACAAGAAGCCCCGGCUAACUACGUGCCAGCAGCGGCGGUAAUAC
This 523-nucleotide ribosomal RNA is filed under the name uncultured bacterium. RNAcentral's name for it is "bacterial SSU rRNA". It matches the Rfam family "Bacterial small subunit ribosomal RNA", at positions 8 to 526 of the family's 1533-position model. The record is from RNAcentral.